This 464-nucleotide ribosomal RNA is filed under the name uncultured fungus. RNAcentral describes it as "eukaryotic LSU rRNA". The stretch from base 162 to 313 matches the Rfam family "5.8S ribosomal RNA". Lineage: Eukaryota; Fungi. The record is from RNAcentral.
AAAAUCGCAACAAGGUCUCCGUAGGUGAACGGGGGGAGGGAUCAUUAAUGAAUGGCUUUUGCCUUCAACCCUGUAAACCUGUGGAAGCAAGAUGUGCUUUGGUGCUCCGGCACCUCGUUUAUGCGGUAAAGUAUUUGUCUGAAUCAAAAAGCAAGAAUUAAAACUUUCAACAAAGGAUCUCUUGGCUCUCGCAUCGAUGAAGAACGCAGCGAAGCGCGAAAUGUAGUGUGAAUCGCAGAACAUUGUGAAUCAUCGAAUCUUUGAACGCACAUUGCGCCUCCCGUUACUGGGAGGCAUGCCUGUCUGAGCGUCAUUUAAAACAUAGCACCCCAUCAAGGGUCUGUCUUGGGCCUCGCCUGUGGGCGUAGCCUCAAAGUCAUUGGUCUAAGGAGCGGGCAAGAUCCAUUGGGACUGACCGUUCUGCGACCUUAAAUCUCAGACUUGACCUCAGAUCAGGUAGGGCU